Molecule: ribosomal RNA, 253 nt
Filed under: uncultured bacterium
Lineage: Bacteria
Description: partial 16S ribosomal RNA
Rfam family: Bacterial small subunit ribosomal RNA
Source: RNAcentral
GACGGAGGGAGCAAGCGUUGUCCGGAUUUACUGGGCGUAAAGCGCGCGUAGGCGGCCGUUUAAGUCGGCGGUGAAAUUGCGGGGCUUAACUCCGCAACUGCCGUCGAUACUGAUCGGCUCGAGUCCGGGAGAGGGAAGCGGAAUUCCUGGUGUAGCGGUGGAAUGCGUAGAUAUCAGGAAGAACACCGGUGGCGAAGGCGGCUUCCUGGACCGGUACUGACGCUGAGGCGCGAAAGCUAGGGGAGCGAACGGG